Molecule: ribosomal RNA, 252 nt
Filed under: uncultured bacterium
Lineage: Bacteria
Description: partial 16S ribosomal RNA
Source: RNAcentral
GGACUACUGGGGUAUCUAAUCCUUUUCAUUACCCAAGCCUUCGUCCCUCAACGUCAGUUUUUAUAUAAAGGAUUGUCUUCACUAUUAUCAGUCUUAUUAGUAUCAACGUAUUUCAUCUCUACACUAACAAUACUUAUAUCUACCUCUCAUAUUAAACUCUAGUCUAUUUAUACAUAAACCGUCUAGGUACCCUUUAAACCUAAUAAAGAUGAAUAACACUAGGCUUACUCGUGUUACCGCGGCGGCUGGCAC